GACGAACGCUGGCGGCGUGCUUAACACAUGCAAGUCGAACGGAAAGGCCCUGCUUUUGUGGGGUGCUCGAGUGGCGAACGGGUGAGUAACACGUGAGUAACCUGCCCUUGACUUUGGGAUAACUUCAGGAAACUGGGGCUAAUACCGGAUAGGAGCUCCUGCUGCAUGGGGGGGGUUGGAAAGUUUCGGCGGUUGGGGAUGGACUCGCGGCUUAUCAGCUUGUUGGUGGGGUAGUGGCGUACCAAGGCUUUGACGGGUAGCCGGCCUGGGAGGGUGACCGGCCACCUUGGGACUGAGAUACGGCCCAGACUCCUACGGGAGGCAGCAGUGGGGAAUAUUGCACAAUGGGCGGAAGCCUGAUGCAGCAACGCCGCGUGCGGGAUGACGGCCUUCGGGUUGUAAACCGCUUUCGCCUGUGACGAAGCGUGAGUGACGGUAAUGGGUAAAGAAGCACCGGCUAACUACGUG
Molecule: ribosomal RNA, 468 nt
Filed under: uncultured bacterium
Lineage: Bacteria
Description: partial 16S ribosomal RNA
Rfam family: Bacterial small subunit ribosomal RNA
Source: RNAcentral